CCUACGGGUGGCAGCAGUAGGGAAUAUUGCUCAAUGGGGGAAACCCUGAAGCAGCAACGCCGCGUGGAGGAUGAAGGUUUUCGGAUUGUAAACUCCUUUUGUUAGAGAAGAUAAUGACGGUAUCUAACGAAUAAGCACCGGCUAACACCGUGCCAGCAGCCGCGGUAAUACGGAGGGUGCAAGCGUUACUCGGAAUCACUGGGCGUAAAGGGCGCGUAGGCGGGAUAGCAAGUCAGAUGUGAAAUCCUAUGGCUUAACCAUAGGACUGCAUUUGAAACUGUUAUUCUAGAGUAUGGGAGAGGUAGGUGGAAUUCUUGGUGUAGGGGUAAAAUCCGUAGAGAUCAAGAGGAAUACUCAUUGCGAAGGCGACCUGCUAGAACAUAACUGACGCUGAUGCGCGAAAGCGUGGGGAGCAAACAGGAUUAGAUACCCCGGUAGUC
Molecule: ribosomal RNA, 440 nt
Filed under: uncultured bacterium
Lineage: Bacteria
Description: partial 16S ribosomal RNA
Rfam family: Bacterial small subunit ribosomal RNA
Source: RNAcentral